UAACAUUUGAGUCUGUAGACCGAGUAAAGCAGAUUGUCCUCCCCAGUGAGGGUGGGCCACAUCUAAUCUGUUGAAGGCCUAGACAGAACAGAAGGUUGAGUAAGGGAGAAUUUGCUCUCUGCCUGCCUAUCUUGGGACUUCUCAGCCUCCAUAAUCAUAUUGGACUCUGGCACUUUCCCCUGAGGCAGGCAAACAUCCAACUCCAGUUAUGGGGACUGGAGACCAUGGGAGCAGGGCCCGAAGAGAAUUGGCCUCCCCCUGCGUGGGAGAUGGAAAACACGCCCGCGACGUUUUGCUGCUCCUUCCAUCCGGAGCCAGUCUGUUCCUCACCCCUCAAAGCUGGGCUGGCCCCGUGACUGCGCUGACCUACGGACUGUGAUGGAAGGUGGCAUGAUACAAGUGGCAGAGCCCAGGCCUUCAUCCUCUCAGAACCCUGAGCCACCGUGCCGGGAAGGAGCCAGGGAUGCAGGGCCACGUGAGAGAGAGGCUUGGCGCCCAGCCAUUGCCGCCACCCCAGCUGAGCCCAGCAUCCAGUGAACGCAGUCACCUGAGCGAACCCAGACAAGACCAGUGGAAGGACUGCCCGGCCAACCCGCGGAACUGGG
This 605-nucleotide long non-coding RNA is filed under the name Equus caballus (horse). RNAcentral describes it as "lncRNA (ENSECAG00000057247.1)". The record is from RNAcentral. Lineage: Eukaryota; Metazoa; Chordata; Mammalia; Perissodactyla; Equidae.